This 245-nucleotide ribosomal RNA is filed under the name uncultured bacterium. RNAcentral's name for it is "partial 16S ribosomal RNA". It matches the Rfam family "Bacterial small subunit ribosomal RNA", at positions 524 to 768 of the family's 1533-position model. The record is from RNAcentral.
UACGAGUGCUUCGAGCGUUAUCCGGAAUCAUUGGGCGUAAAGGGUGUGUAGGCGGCGAUGUUAGUCCCACGUAAAAUCUUUCGGCUCAACCGAGAGCUCGCGCGGGAAACGGCAUUGCUAGAGGAUGGUAGGGGUCUUCGGAACUCAUAGUGUAGCGGUGAAAUGCGUUGAUAUUAUGGGGAACACCAAAAGCGAAGGCAGAAGACUGGACCACUCCUGACGCUGAAACACGAAAGCGUGGGUCG